Molecule: ribosomal RNA, 236 nt
Filed under: uncultured bacterium
Lineage: Bacteria
Description: partial 16S ribosomal RNA
Rfam family: Bacterial small subunit ribosomal RNA
Source: RNAcentral
CCGCACGGGUGAGUAACACGUAUCCAACCUGCCGUCUACUCUUGGACAGCCUUCUGAAAGGAAGAUUAAUACAAGAUGGCAUCAUGAGUCCGCAUGUUCACAUGAUUAAAGGUAUUCCGGUAGACGAUGGGGAUGCGUUCCAUUAGAUAGUAGGCGGGGUAACGGCCCACCUAGUCUUCGAUGGAUAGGGGUUCUGAGAGGAAGGUCCCCCACAUUGGAGCUGAGACACGGUCCAA